This 861-nucleotide ribosomal RNA is filed under the name Paraburkholderia caledonica. RNAcentral describes it as "bacterial SSU rRNA". It matches the Rfam family "Bacterial small subunit ribosomal RNA", at positions 48 to 907 of the family's 1533-position model. The record is from RNAcentral. Lineage: Bacteria; Pseudomonadati; Pseudomonadota; Betaproteobacteria; Burkholderiales; Burkholderiaceae.
CUUACCAUGCAGUCGAACGGCAGCACGGGAGCAAUCCUGGUGGCGAGUGGCGAACGGGUGAGUAAUACAUCGGAACGUGUCCUGGAGUGGGGGAUAGCCCGGCGAAAGCCGGAUUAAUACCGCAUACGCUCUGAGGAGGAAAGGGGGGGAUCUUAGGACCUCUCGCUCAAGGGGCGGCCGAUGGCAGAUUAGCUAGUUGGUGGGGUAAAGGCCUACCAAGGCGACGAUCUGUAGCUGGUCUGAGAGGACGACCAGCCACACUGGGACUGAGACACGGCCCAGACUCCUACGGGAGGCAGCAGUGGGGAAUUUUGGACAAUGGGCGCAAGCCUGAUCCAGCAAUGCCGCGUGUGUGAAGAAGGCCUUCGGGUUGUAAAGCACUUUUGUCCGGAAAGAAAACACGCCUGUUAAUACCGGGUGUGGAUGACGGUACCGGAAGAAUAAGCACCGGCUAACUACGUGCCAGCAGCCGCGGUAAUACGUAGGGUGCAAGCGUUAAUCGGAAUUACUGGGCGUAAAGCGUGCGCAGGCGGUUCGUUAAGACAGAUGUGAAAUCCCCGGGCUUAACCUGGGAACUGCAUUUGUGACUGGCGGACUCGAGUAUGGCAGAGGGGGGUAGAAUUCCACGUGUAGCAGUGAAAUGCGUAGAGAUGUGGAGGAAUACCGAUGGCGAAGGCAGCCCCCUGGGCCAAUACUGACGCUCAUGCACGAAAGCGUGGGGAGCAAACAGGAUUAGAUACCCUGGUAGUCCACGCCCUAAACGAUGUCAACUGGUUGUCGGGUCUUCAUUGACUUGGUAACGAAGCUAACGCGUGAAGUUGACCGCCUGGGGAGUACGGUCGCAAGAUUAAAACUCAGAAG